This is a long non-coding RNA of Megalops cyprinoides (Indo-Pacific tarpon), 588 nucleotides long. RefSeq lists it as uncharacterized. The record is from RefSeq and is a predicted model, not a curated record. The transcript is spliced from 3 exons. Lineage: Eukaryota; Metazoa; Chordata; Actinopteri; Elopiformes; Megalopidae.
GCCAUUGUUGUAUGCUAGCCACGAGUGAAAGGUGGAUGUUUGCCUGUUAUUCGCUGUGUGUUAAGCACACUAUUUAAUUAAAGCAGACGCUGAGAAUAUUUAUUGCUACGCGAAGUAGGUGAGCUUAAGGCAAAACGCCGCCAGCAUUUUAGUUUAUUAUCUUGUUGCCAAAGUGUGCUUGGUUAUAUUGCCAAAAAGCCGAAUUUAAAUGUCGUGUUGCAUCCCAAACAGUGUCUGCGUACUACACCUGCAGCCGGGGUACAACGGGAUAGAUGACCAUGGAUUAGAGCGGGGAGUUUUAUACGAAGUGACACCAUAUCAGUAUGAGUGGUAGAUGGGCAUGACACUCCUCAUGGCCAGUGUGCUCACAGGACAACAAUCCAAGUUGUCUACCCUGCACAAGUUGGGCUGCAUCACUUUAUCCACAAGUGAGUGAGGGAACUGGAUCCCCCAGAGGCAGAUGCCCUGGAAACAGCCCCAGCAAAGCUUCCAAGCAAACUUUGACUGCGUUCAAAAAUCACUACUCUGUUAUAUGCAAACUCACAGAAACAAAUACCUUAACAAAUAAAUAGCACUGUUAUCUGCAGA